CGCGUGGGCAACCUGCCUCAUACAGGGGGAUAGCAUCGGGAAACUGGUGGUAAAACCGCAUAAGCGCACGAAGACGCAUGUAUUCGUGUGAAAAGGAGAAAUCUGGUAUGAGAUGGACCCGCGUCUGAUUAGCUAGUUGGAGUGGUAAAAGCACACCAAGGCGACGAUCAGUAGCCGGCCUGAGAGGGUGGACGGCCACAUUGGGACUGAGACACGGCCCAGACUCCUACGGGAGGCAGCAG
This 242-nucleotide ribosomal RNA is filed under the name uncultured bacterium. Its description in RNAcentral is "partial 16S ribosomal RNA". It matches the Rfam family "Bacterial small subunit ribosomal RNA", at positions 114 to 354 of the family's 1533-position model. The record is from RNAcentral.